GGCUGUUGAUGAUGUACAUUAACAGAUGGGAAUCUCUCUGAAAGGGGAUGAGGACUCCAUUCUACACUGAAACAGUG
This is a small nucleolar RNA of Ochotona curzoniae (black-lipped pika), 77 nucleotides long. RefSeq annotates it as small nucleolar RNA SNORD79. The record is from RefSeq and is a predicted model, not a curated record. The transcript has a single exon. NCBI's taxonomy places the organism in Eukaryota, Metazoa, Chordata, Mammalia, Lagomorpha, Ochotonidae.